CAGCAGCCGCGGGAACACGAAGGGUGCAAGCGUCACUCGGAAUUACUGGGCGUAAAGCGUGCGUAGGUGGUGGUUUAAGUCCGUUGUGAAAGCCCUGGGCUCAACCUGGGAAUUGCAGUGGAUACUGGGUCACUAGAGUGUGGUAGAGGAUAGUGGAAUUUCCGGUGUAGCAGUGAAAUGCGUAGAGAUCGGAAGGAACAUCUGUGGCGAAGGCGACUAUCUGGGCCAACACUGACACUGAGGCACGAAAGCGUGGGGAGCAAACAGGAUUAGAUACCCCUGUAGUCCCUGUCUCUAUACA
This 301-nucleotide ribosomal RNA is filed under the name uncultured bacterium. Its description in RNAcentral is "partial 16S ribosomal RNA". It matches the Rfam family "Bacterial small subunit ribosomal RNA", at positions 509 to 808 of the family's 1533-position model. The record is from RNAcentral.